AGCAGCCGCCGCGGUAAUACGUAGGUGGCAAGCGUUGUCCGGAAUUAUUGGGCGUAAAGGGCUCGCAGGCGGUUUCUUAAGUCUGAUGUGAAAGCCCCCGGCUCAACCGGGGAGGGUCAUUGGAAACUGGGAAACUUGAGUGCAGAAGAGGAGAGUGGAAUUCCACGUGUAGCGGUGAAAUGCGUAGAGAUGUGGAGGAACACCAGUGGCGAAGGCGACUCUCUGGUCUGUAACUGACGCUGAGGAGCGAAAGCGUGGGGAGCAAACAGGAUUAGAGACCCCUGUAGUCCCUGUCUCUUAUAC
RNAcentral lists this ribosomal RNA (303 nucleotides) under uncultured bacterium. RNAcentral's name for it is "partial 16S ribosomal RNA". It matches the Rfam family "Bacterial small subunit ribosomal RNA", at positions 507 to 807 of the family's 1533-position model. The record is from RNAcentral.